Molecule: long non-coding RNA, 916 nt
Organism: Alnus glutinosa
Lineage: Eukaryota; Viridiplantae; Streptophyta; Magnoliopsida; Fagales; Betulaceae
Exons: 3
Source: RefSeq, a predicted model, not a curated record
CACUACUGCAUUGCACUCCUGAGUUCAGCCGCAUUCACUUCACCUCCCACUUCCACACAUCUUCUGCACAACGUUACACGUCUUCUGCACAAGCUACUCCCUUCAUUUUAGGGCCCCUAAUAAUCAGGCUCAUAGAACCCUGACCCUCCAAUCAGGUCUCUCUCUCUCUCUGAGUCUCUCCCCUGCUCGAGUUGCGAUCCCUGCCCAAAUCUCCACUGUCCCGCUCUCCCGCCGACCGAGCUCUGGCCACAAACCCACCGACCGAGCGCUGCCUAGCAGACCGAUCGCUGCCCCUCUCCGACCAGGUCAUGCACAGCUGUUGCUCCUUUGGAAAGGUUGAAAAUAUUGCUACAGGUUGGUUUUACAGCUUGGAAGAGUUUUGCAGCUGUGCUACAAUAAGUUGACUGGCAGCAUACCAACACAAAUAGGAAAUAUGAGGAGGCCAAGUGUUCUUGCGUUGCAAUACAAUCAAUUGACUGGUGCAAUUCCUGCAAGUUUGGGUGAUUUGCAAAUGUUAACGAGGUCGGAUUUGAGCUUUAAUUACUUUUUUGGCUCUAUUCCAGUAUGGUUAGUUAAUGCUCCCAUUCCAGAGGUUCUUAACAUACAAAACAACUCUCUCUCAGCCUCUCAGGCAUGGUCCCUUCAGGUAAUGUUGGCUGUGUAUGAAAACUCUUUUUCCCUCCUCCCCCCAAUUUUUCCCCCCACCCUUGGGCCCACUCAGCAAGGUCCUCUUCUUAUUUUUCUCAUUUUUGCCCCUAAGCAACUGGCCGUUGGGUUGCUACACUUACAUGCUCUCGUGCUUUAAGUAUAGAUGUAUUUGGAGAAUCAAGGUGGUCAAAAGUUCUGAUUUUAUUUUUCUGGCCUUGUGGAUGAAAACUUAGAUUUGAAGAGACUGAAUGGUGGAUUCCAGUACAAA